Molecule: ribosomal RNA, 143 nt
Filed under: uncultured eukaryote
Lineage: Eukaryota
Description: partial 18S ribosomal RNA
Rfam family: Eukaryotic small subunit ribosomal RNA
Source: RNAcentral
UGGUGGAGUGAUUUGUCUGGUUAAUUCCGUUAACGAACGAGACCUCAGCCUGCUAAAUAGACGGGCGAACACUUUGUGUUCGUAUACCGGUCUUCUUAGAGGGACAUUCGGUUUCUAACCGAAGGAAGUUUGAGGCAAUAACA